Molecule: ribosomal RNA, 630 nt
Filed under: uncultured bacterium
Lineage: Bacteria
Description: bacterial SSU rRNA
Rfam family: Bacterial small subunit ribosomal RNA
Source: RNAcentral
AAACAUUCCGCCUGGGGAGUACGGUCGCAAGAUUAAAACUCAAAGGAAUAGACGGGGACCCGCACAAGUGGUGGAGCAUGUGGUUUAAUUCGAAGAUACGCGAAGAACCUUACCUAGCCUUGACAUAUUUAAGAACUCCGUAGAGAUACAGAGGUGCCUUCGGGAGCUUUCUUACAGGUGCUGCACGGCUGUCGUCAGCUCGUGUCGUGAGAUGUUGGGUUAAGUCCCGCAACGAGCGCGACCCUCGUCACUAGUUACUAACGGUUCGGCCGAGGACUCUAGUGAGACUGCCUUCGUAAGGAGGAGGAAGGUGAGGACGACGUCAAGUCAUCAUGGCCCUUACGGCUAGGGCAACACACGUGCUACAAUGGCCAGGACAGUGAGACGCAAUACCGCGAGGUGGAGCAAAUCUAUAAACCUGGUCUCGGUUCGGAUUGUUCUCUGCAACUCGAGAACAUGAAGCUGGAAUCACUAGUAAUCGUAGAUCAGCUAUGCUACGGUGAAUACGUUCCCGGGUCUUGUACUCACCGCCCGUCACACCAUGGGAGUUGAUUUCACCCGAAGCGGGGAAGCUAAACUGGCUACCCUCCACGGUGGAAUUAGCGACUGGGGUGAAGUUCUAGCAACAUA